GUGCCUGUGGCAUGUGGAAGUUCCUUUGCCAGGGAUCAAACCCUCACCCCAGCAGUGACCCAAGCUGCUGCACUGUCUUCUUACUUCUUUUGUCUUAGAUUAAUUGAUCAAUAAGGGCAAGUGUUUAUUUCUGGGCUUUCUGUCUUGUUCCAUUGGUCUAUGUGUCUGUUUUUGUGCCAGUACCAUUCUGUUUUGAUUAUUGUAGCUUUGUAGCCAGGGAGUGUAAUUCCUCCAGCUCUGUUCUUUUUUGCUUAAAAAUUUUUUUUUUUUUUUGCUAUUAAGUGUCUUUUGUUUUACAAUACAAAUUUUAAAAUUUGUUCUAGUUCUGUGAAAAAUGCCGUUGGUAUUUUGAUAAGGAUUGCAUUGAAUCUGUAGAUUGCUUUGGGUAGUAUGGUCAUUUUCUGAUAUUUAUUCUCCCAAUCCAUGAACAUGGUGUGUUUUUCUAUCUUUUACAGUAUGUAUAUAAAACUUUUUCAGGGAAAGAUUGGGAAAUGGGUAAAUUUUUUUGCUCCUUUUGCACUGCGCCCUAAGGGGAUAGCCAGCUAGAAAUUGCUCCUUUGUUUUCUAUAGUCCUAUGGAACUUGUUAGUGGAACCCCCUUUAGCUAUAAGACUGAUGGUCUGGAGACCCAUUUCUUGGGGAGCAGCUAUAAAAUCUGGGGUGUAGGCAUGUGUACUAGCUCCUUCCAGGGAGAUACUAGGAACUUAGAGUCAUCUUGAGUGGGAAGGAAUGUUGUCCACUUCCCCAUUUUCUGGGGAGGAUCAUGGUUAGUCCCUAAUGCCUGUUAAAUUAGAAGACUGGACUUCAGGCAGCAGCUUAAUUUUAAAGUACACAGAUACUCUUUCAGGGGAAAACUAUGAGGUGGACACUUUUGCCUUUUUCCUCUGUGCAGAUUGCUGGGAUGAUAGCUGUGGUGAGUGCUUGCAUGCUUGUUAAGAAUUGGUUCUAUGCUAUAUACUUAUGAGGCUUGUGGACACAAGCUCCAUUGGUUUUUAGAGCAAGUGGUUUUUGUGAGCCUGUCUCUGGUGAAUCUUAUAAGUUUGAGUGCUAGAUAUGGAGUCCAAGCCCUUUGGUUUUCAGGGAGAAGCUAGAAGUCAGGGCUUCUCUCCUAAUUGUCGGGCACUGUGCUGAGAGGAGGGUUUAUGGCAAGAGUAUGGAAGGAACAGUUUUUCCUACCUGUUUUGAUGUGGGUAUUUUCUCAUUUGUCUGGCAUGUAGGAGUUGCUCAGCUAGUUGCUGGGUGUUGCUCCAUGUGUAAUUGUCCAUUUGAUGUGUCAGUAUGAGGAGGGAAGCUCAGGAGCUUCCUUUGUCACGAUCUUGUUGCCUCCCAGUUCCUAAGUUUUGAAUCCUUGCUUUUCCAUCAAAAUUUUUAUCUUUGCUCUAACGUGUUUUUGAAAUUUGAGAUGUUUUCUUUAAUAACAAUUUAGUCUUUUGAUUUUCUGGCCUUGUGUAUGGUAACCUGUAUUAAUGACAGUAAAAAAAUAUUUUUUCUUCCAUUAUGUCUUAUUGAGAUGUAGACAUGUUAUUGUAGAGUUAUAUUUCUUUUUCUUUAGUCUUUUUUUUUUUUUUGGUUGCUCCAUGGCAUAUGCAAUUAUCAGGCCAUGGAUCAGAUCCAAGCCACAGUUGCCUGAGCUGCAACUAACUUCCCUAAGUUAAGAUCAUACAACUAUGAAAAAUCAGAGAAAUUUUUAUUAGCUAUAGAAAUUUCAUUUGCUGUACAAAUAGGUAAGUCUUUCACUGUUUUCCUUUCAUUCUUUAAAGACAUUUUAUUGUAUUGAUUUCUAAUUUUCAUUAUGAUCAGUUAAUAUAUUCUAUAUCAUUUGAAUGAUUUUAAAGAUUUUAAUAUUGUUUUUUGGCCUAGUAUAUAGUUCAUCUUGGUGAAUAUGCCCUAGACAUGAAUUGAUUCUGAUAUUUGCUGUAGUGUUUUACUUCUAUGACUAAUACUUUGGUUUUUUUCUAUAAAUUACUGAAAGAGCUAUGACUGUAGAUUUAUUUACUACUCCUUUUAUUUCUUCCAGUUUCAUUUCAUUCAAGUUGAAACUUUGUUAUUAGUCAUAUAAACUCUCAUGAUUGUUAUACUUUCCUUGUAAAUUGACUCUAUUAAGAAAUAUCUCUAUCUCUGGUAAUAAUUGAUUUGAAGUUUAUUUUUUCUGAAAUUAAUAUAACAACUCUAGCUUUCUUACGCCUUCUGUUUGUAGAGUGUAUCUUUCCCUCUUUUUAUUUCUUCCUACCUGUAUCUUUAUGUAUAACGUUUUGUAAUUUUAGAUAGCAUGUAGUUGGGAUAUGUUUUAGCCAUUAACGAUUGAGUGUUUAUUCAAUGACUAAUAUAAUCAUUAAAAAGGUGGAUUUAAGUCCACCAGUUUUGUCAUUUGUUGCUUUGUGUGUACUCCCUUUUAGUAUGUGUCUUUUGUUUCUUAUUAUUCUGUCCCUUCUUCCCUACCUUUUGACUUUUUUUCAGAAUUUUCUUUUCCUAUUCCUUUUUAACUCUACCUUUAUGCAAUUUUGCUGGUUUUCCUAGUGAUUACAAUAUACAUAUUUAGUUAUUUCAGUCUUUUAAAGACUAUUAAAUCUCUUCACGUAAAAAGAAGAAUCUUGCAAUAAUAUGUACCUAAUUGCCUAGUCUCCGGCCCCUCUUAUUCUAUAGUCGUCAUAUAUAUCUAUAUCUACUAUAAACCCUAUAGCCAAUGCCAUAAUUGUUUUAAACAGGUAUAUUUAUAUUAAAUAGUUUAAGAGGGGAAAAUACUUCAUAACUACCUAGGUAUUAACCAGUUUUAAUUCUUUUUACUCUAUCCUGAACAUCUGUGUUUCCUUCUGUUAUCAUUAUCUGUCUUCCCAAAGAAUUUUCCUUCAUGCCAAGUUGACUGGUGAUAAGUUCUUUGUUUUCUUUUAUCUGACUCUGUCCUUUUAGUCCUUUUUAUUGAUUGAUAUAGUUACUCUCUGUAGAAUUAUGAUUGGGUUUUCUCCAUUAUUACUUUAAAGAUAAUUUUCCACAGUGUUCUGGACUUUGUUGAAAUAAAAUCCAUUCUUUAGGUAGUUAAUAUAGAAAGUAGUUGAAGCAAAAGUUUUAGCUAGCAAAGUGUGAUAUGAUAGGUACUUUAACAGAGAGUAGUUAUGAAGAGUUCUUAACUAAACAAUUUGUUUUAUGAUUUUCUCUGUGUCUCCCGAUAGCUUUGAACAAAUGAGCUCCUUUUGACUGGGACUUGGUUUUGUUCAUAUUCUUGACUUACUCAGAAAGUCAUAUAUCAUACAUUUAAAAAUAAUCAUUCUAUACUUUUUAAAAUUUUUUUUUAAAUUAAAAUUUUUUUUGUCUUUUGUCUUUUUAGGGCCGCACCCAUGGCACGUGGAGGUUCCCAGGCUAGAGGUCUAAUCAGAACUAUAGGCCACAGCCACGACAACACCAGAUCUGAGCGUUUGUGACCUACACCACAGCUCAAGGCAAUGUUGGAUCCUUAACUCACAGAGUGAGGCCAAGGAUUGAACCCACAACCUCAUGGUUCCUAGUCUGAUUCAUUUACACUGUGCCAUGAUGGGAACUUCUUAUCAUUCCAUACUUUUAAAUGGAUAGUUUCUCUUUCAUGGUAUUUACAAUAAAAUAAUAAGUUAGAAAAUGGAUGGUUUUGUUAGAAAAAGCAAAGUAAAAAAAGAUUGGAGUGAGUUGAUAUUAGAAAUAUGUCAUUUAAUUAAUUGUUACCAUUUGUUCAUAGAUAUUUGUACUAUUUUGUUAAUUGUGCAGUGUUGCAAACAUUUGCUAUGAGUUCUUUUAAUACUGAAUUGAUCCAUCUCUUGACGUAACAUUUUUUUAUUGAAGAUGACAUUGGGAUAUGGUUAUCUUACAACCUCUGAUUUUGGCGAAGAUGAAAUUAACCUUUCAAUUGUAUUUGAUGUGCAAAUUUUUUCACUUUGACAUUCCUACAUGUCAACUGUUUAUCUACCGUUCUAUCUUCUGUAAUCUAUCUAUCUCUACCUAUCAUCUGCCUAACUUAUUAAUAGAUACAUUAUCAUUUAGUCACCCAUCUUGUCACCUAUAGUUUGUAUAUCAUCUAGCUAGCUGUCUAAUCUCCAUCUAUCCAUACAUCCGUCCUGCUAUUAAGUAUGCUAAGUUGAAGAGUACGACAAUGGAGAAUCAAAGGAGUUACCCCCAUAUAAAAUGAUAGUGAUGACAGUGGUCUCUGAGGUGAUGAUAUAUAAAGUGACAGCAAGAAUAGAACAUAAUAACAGGGAUAUUAACUCAGGAACAUGUCUAUCAGGAACUCUGGACUUGCUACCAUGAUCAAAUUUGAAACCUCAAAAUAGAGCUGCCUCCAUUCUGUCUCAGCUUCUAAAAUUUAGUCUCUGUGACUGUCUUUUCAGUACAGCCUCCAUAUUUUAAAACUCAGUAUUAAUUGCAUGGAAUUAUCAGCUCAGUCUAUGCUAAACUAGACCAUGGAUUGGUAAACCUUUUCUGUAAAGGGCCAAAUAACAAUUUGUUUUCCAAUAAAACAAUUUCAGUGUUCCAAUAAAACUUUAUUUAUAACAGCAGGCUGUGGGCUUGAGUACCACAUCCUGAACAAGAUAAGUGGUUAAACCAGAACCUGGAAAAUAAUCACAUUAGCCCCACCAUUGUAAAAAAUAUUUAAAAAUUAUCUCCCCAUUUUAUUUUCAUGAAAAUUAUUUUUAGCUCCUCUGUAAAUCUUAUUUAUAAGAGAGUGCUGUCAAUGAAUACUACAUGUCAACAUAAACAAUGUAAAGCCAGUAUUGUAUAAGUGACUGGGGAGAUAUGAACCCCUUUCCAGUUAUAACCAAUAAACUAUAUUUUAAAUUGAGCAUACUUCUCCCAUAUUCCAUUUGUCCAUUGUGUCCAAACUCAUUCCUGCCUUCUUUCCCCCUUCAAUACACUUCAAGUCAAAAUGUCUCUCCACGUCUUUGGUGUUAUCCAGUCUCCUUAGCCAUUGACUUCAGUCUAUUUUGACUUCAUAUGAUCCUUUUUUGGUAAUUGUUUCAACCUCUCAGAAUAGGAUUUGUAUAUUCCAAGGCUAUUAUUUAACCUAGUUUGUAAAAAUGUGAAAGAUUCAACAGUAUACCUAAUUAAUGAAUACUAUCUUUAAUUCAAUUAAAAUUUGUCUUCCAAGUUUUCUCCAUCUUAUAUGCAUUGAAGAGUUAGAGGAGCGAAAAAUAGUAGCUAAAACCCAUUAACUUAAAAUUGAAUUUGGGUUAUUGAUUACUUUGCAAUGAACUGAGAAUUUACCUGUAUUGUUACUUGAAACUUACAUGACCAUUUUAGUGUUACUAUUUCUAUGAAAGCCUGACCCAAAUCAAUUAGAAAAAGGCAAUCAUUCCACUACAAAAGUGGAAAGUACAUAAAUGAGAAAUUCAUAAAAGGAUUGUGAAUGGCCAAGAACACAUAAAAAGUAUACUCAAACUUAUCAAUCUUCGUAAUUAAACAAAAAUGUAUUAAAUCAUCAAUUUUUAUAAAUAUAUACAUUAAAUAUAUGUGUGUGUUUAAAAACACAGACACAAACACACAAAAUAGAUUAACAAUUACCUUUUUCACCUAUUAGAUUAAUAGGUACGUUUGUUAACAAAGUGUGGGUAAUUUCAGACUCCUUCUGGAUUAAAAUCUUUCCAACACAUGGUAAAAAAUAUGUAUUAGACGGAAAUCAGCACAUUUUGACUAACGUUUUUUCUUAGAAAUUUACCUAUAGGAUGUAAUUGGAGUUUUCAAACCUGUAUGUAAACUCUAGGAUAUUCAUUACAGCCAUAGUUAUACUUGUCAAAUUAUAUGUAAUCUUUUUAUGAAGUCCUAAUGCUAGGGAAAUUAGUGGUGAUACAUUUAUACAGUUGAAUUUUUUCAGUUAUAUGUGGUAAUGUAUGUUGAAAUUAAUUGAUAUGAAAAUCUGUCUUUCAAAAGUUCAUUUUUCUGUCAGUUAUUGAGUAUCAACUAUGUUUGAGGCAUUAAUAUUGUAUUUAAUUCACAUAAAAUGAUAUAUGUAUGUGCUUGUUUGGUUAUGGUCAAUAAACCAAUUUUAUAGGAAGAAUGUUCAAAAAUGUCGAUAGUGAGUUUCGGUCAUUUAUUUUACUGGCGUGUGUGUGUGUGGUUUUCAGUGUCAUAUGUGUAUAUAGCAUUUAUUGAAUUCCUGGUGUAUAUAUCACUUUUCCACGGAUUAUCUUAUUUAAUGCUCAUAAUAUAGAGUAGGAUGUUCAUUCAUUUUUUAAGAAAAAUAGAGGCUAACUUUGAUGC
This 6215-nucleotide long non-coding RNA is filed under the name Sus scrofa (pig). RNAcentral describes it as "lncRNA (ENSSSCG00050019555.1)". Lineage: Eukaryota; Metazoa; Chordata; Mammalia; Artiodactyla; Suidae. The record is from RNAcentral.